AAACCAGCACCUCAAGUGGUCAGGAUGAUUAUUGGGCCUAAAGCAUCCGUAGCCUGCUCUGUAAGUUUUCGGUUAAAUCUGUACGCUCAACGUACAGGCUGCCGGGAAUACUGCAGAGCUAGGGAGUGGGAGAGGUAGACGGUACUCGGGAGGAAGUGGUAAAAUGCUUUGAUCUCUCGAUGACCACCUGUGGCGAAGGCGGUCUACCAGAACACGUCCGACGGUGAGGGAUGAGAGCUGGGGGAGCAAACCGGAUUAGAAACCCCAGUAGUCC
RNAcentral lists this ribosomal RNA (274 nucleotides) under uncultured bacterium. Its description in RNAcentral is "partial 16S ribosomal RNA". It matches the Rfam family "Archaeal small subunit ribosomal RNA", at positions 473 to 747 of the family's 1478-position model. The record is from RNAcentral.